GCUGGGAAGGCCAGGAGUGCCAUGAAUUCAUCCUUCCUUCCUUGGACGAUCACUGGAACCAGGAUGGGCCCCAGAGCCACAGAUCUGGAUCCACCCAACCCAGAGCCUCAAGCUCCUGCUAUGGGCCAGGAACCUGCUGUCUCCUGCUCUGCACAGUGGCUUCAGUCCAAGGGUAGCUACCCUGUUGGUGGCAAGAAGGCUGCCUGAAACACCUGGAGGAGCAUCACACAUCCCUACUUUUCUCCAGCAAGAGGAAGAGGCCUACAAGAAGAACAACCAGACCCAAGCCUCAGAUCCCACUGGGUACCAUGGCUGCCGUUUCUGGGAUCAUCUCCCUGCUCACGCUUCCCCUUCUCUGUUCUGGCCCUUUAGGAGAGUCCCUGGGUCUGACUGGGAGUCUCCCAGCCCUGUGGCUCUUUCCACUGAAGUGAGUGCCUGGCAGCUCAGGGGGCAAAAUCUCAGAGCUGUCCCUCUUCCUGCCCUACUUUGCACUCCCUCCCUCCCUGCACAGUGUCCACAUUAAUAAAGUCCCUUCCCCCACUCGACCUGGAGGACCUCAGGUGGGGUAGGCAGCCAACCCUCCCCACCAGAUUCUCUAUGCCCUGGUCUCAGACUCAUGGCUGAGCACCAAAAGGGCCUACUUACUCUCAUCUCCAGCCUGUGCAUAAGCUUUUUCCUCUAGGGCUUUCCUCCUGAAAGUCCUUCCCCAUCUGCCCAGCUAAUAUCAUGCAAACCUCAUCCUAGAUGUGCCCUCCUCCAGGAAGCCCUCCUUGAUCUUUCCUGUCAGGACCCCUCCUCUGGGGUGCCAUAAUACACUGGGAUUCCCUAGUACAAAAUUCUAGCUGUGCUCCUUUUACACUGACUGUGUAACUCUAGGCUAAUUACCUUACCCCUCUGUGCCUAAGUUUCUUCAUUUGUAAAAGAGUGCUUAUCUCAGAGUUGUUAUAAAGAUUACAUGACUUAAUACAGACAAAAUGCUCAAAAUAGUGCCUGGUACAUAGCAAACACUUGAUAACUCAUGUUCUUAUCACAUGAUAUUUGGAAUUGCCUGUUUAUCUGUCUCCCCCUCUAGGCUGCUAUGAACUUCUUGAACACUGUGGCUGGGUCAUGUCCUCUGAUGUUCAUUCAGGGCCUGGUACAUAUUUAAUAAUUCUCAAAAAAUUAUUGUCAAAUACAUGAAAUAUUAAUAGACAUUUCUUGAACAUUUGUAGAGCAUGUGAAGUAUCUAACUCUCUGGGUCAGACACUGAACUACUUUCUGCUUGUUAUUUCAUUUAAUCCUUGUGACGAGGGUUUGAGCUAGGAACUUGUAGUACCCCCAUUUCACAGAUGGGUAAACCUUCUGUCCUCUGACGCUGUUUUAUUUUUUCAUCAUAGCGCGUUGACUCCUGGCACUUUGUAUACUUAUUUGUAUGUUUGUAGUGGAGCCCAGCUCCCCACUAGAAAGGAAGUUCUGCGAGAGCAGAGACUAUUCAGCGGCAUUCCAAGGGCCUAGGA
Manis javanica (Malayan pangolin) is the source of this 1496-nucleotide long non-coding RNA. RefSeq lists it as uncharacterized. NCBI's taxonomy places the organism in Eukaryota, Metazoa, Chordata, Mammalia, Pholidota, Manidae. The record is from RefSeq and is a predicted model, not a curated record.